CUGGGCUGCAGGAGUGUGCCUGAACCAGGAGGAGAUGUCAGUGUGAGGUCCUAAGGGGUGUAUGUAUGUAUGUAUGUAUGCAUGAGACAUUUUUGUGUGGUUUUGGUACGGUAGCAUUUGUUAGAGUUAUUAGUCUGGUUUUGUGUGUGCAUGACAUGACCAUUUGUAUCAGCCUAUAGGUGUUUUUGUGAUAAUGUGUUUACUGCACAUUUUUCUAUGUGCUCCCAUGUGUUGGGCUGCAUGCUGUUCAUAAGGUGUGAGAGGAGUGAGUGUUUCUGUUUCUUACAUGUUUUGUAUGUCUGUUGUUGGAUGAUUUAGUGUUAGCUGUUUUGUGUGCAUCCAUGUGCUUCUGCUGGCAUAAUACGAGUGUGUGUUUGUGCAUCCGUGUGCUUCUGCUGGCAUAUUACGAGUGUGUGUUUGUUAAUCUGUGUGUUUCUGUUGGCAUAAUACGAGUGUGUGUUUGUGCAUCCAUGUGCUUCUGCUGGCAUAAUACGAAUGUGUGUUUGUGCUGCACGUUGGGGCAGGGGAGUUAACCACAUGGGCAAGAGGGCUGUUGUUAAAGAUAUCUGUCGUUCACAGGAACACUGUGGUCUCUUUCUGUGCGUACCAAGGAAAUCGGAAAGGGUCCAUCGCGCUCUCCCAGAAGUUUGGUUGAUGCGUAAAAUCUGUGAAUUCACAAAGCAAAAGAGUGUGAUGGGUCCGCACUAAAGAAUGUCACAUAAAGCUUACUUCGUUUUUCGAGGCGCCAGACAUUAGGGAUGGACAUUUGACCUUUUUCAACUGUUUUACUCUUAAUAGUAAAUAAAUAAAAGCUGUUUUUAGAACACAUUGCCUGCACUGGAAUUUGUUUGUGGUGAAUUUGUCUACAUGCCUAGGUUUCCCAUGCUCGGUCUUGGGCACCCAAAGGGGUGCACAUUUAGUUUUUGCUCUAGUACUACACAGCUGAUUCAACUAAUCAUUAAGCUUUUAUCAUUUGAACCUUCAGCAGUGUGGUGCUUGUUUGUAGGAGCCUAUGGCUGUGGAAUGGCAUAGCCUUGUUUUGUUAAUUUAGCAGACAAUAUGCUCUUAUUUCCUGAGCCCUUAUCACAGUCAAGACACAUUUUAUAGUAAAAAAUAGAACUGUGAUGCACAUCUCCUGUCUGGAACACUUAUUCUCAAACAGUGAUCAUUUGAAACUGGGCUCAAUUUGAAAAAUAUUUUUCAGGGGUACAAACCAAAAAAAUUGGUCUUCUUUUCGAUAUACAGACAUUUUGAUUGAGAUUAUCCUGACUGUUAACAAUUCCACAUUGGACACCAGUGUUUGGUGAGUAGGUCUAUUCUUAAUGAUUCUGACAAAAAUAUGAAUUUUGUCUUUAUCAAAAUAAUGUUUUAGCAUAUUUUCAGUCUGGAACCUGUCUAUUUAGGGUGGUUAUACCCUAGUCUAACCAAUUCUAAAUGGCACUAGCAAUUUGCAAAGUAGGGGUCAUCACUAGCUACCACAGCCACAAAGUCAUAAACAAUAAAUCGUUAAUCAUAAACCCUGCCUGUUUCUAAAUCAAAUCUAAUUUAUUUGUAUAGCCCUUCGUACAUCAGCUGAUAUCUCAAAUUGCUGUACAGAAACCCAGCCUAAAACCCCAAACAGCAAGCAAUGCAGGUGUAGAAGCACCUUAACUGCAUUAGGUUAAGGUAAUUACAAUUAUACUACUUGUAGUUUCUCUGGUAUAAUGCUAAUGUAAUGUAACUGGUAAAUGUUUUUUAUAAAUGGGUCUAUAUGGUUCCUUUUGGGAUAUCGGGCAGUGAUAUUUGAUUGUAGAUGACGGUUAUUGGUAAUAAAAAUUAAGAUGCCAAUUUUUUUUUCUCCUCUCUGCUCCUGACUGCAUAUGCUCCCAUAGAAACAGAAUGAAUUAGACGGGCAUCCCCAUUCAAGUCAAUAGUGGCAUAAUGGGUUGACUGGCUAGCAUUGCAAGUGUACCCAUAGGAGCAAAGUAGGAAGUGUACCCAUCAAAUUGUGGUGUGAUUUGUUUUGAUUCAACUCAACCGACUACAAAGAAAUACAUUCCAUUAGCCACAUCAGUUAACAUAAAUUCGAUGAAUGUUCUACAUCAGCAUUGAAAUGAUUGAAUACAGUACCAGUCAAAUUGCCAGGGUUAGAGGUUCCCAAACUCUGCUCUGCCCCCCCCAAACUCCCGGGUGCCCAUUUAGGUUUUGCCCAUUUAGGUUUUGCCCUAGCACUACACAGCUGUUUCAAACAAACAACUCAUUAUGCUUUUUUUAUUUUAUUUUACGGUUAUGACAUUUAUUUUGUUUUGAUGGUGUUCAUCCAUAACCGGUGGUUAUAUGGUAAUUGCCGGCGUAAAGAUGGUAUUCCUGAGGGAAGUGGGAAUAAUUCAGGAAAUGAAUCUUGAAAUAAAAUCAUUGUAUGUAUGGUAUUGAAGUAGAAUGUUCAACCCUGAACAAUCCAGAAUAGUGUUUAUUUUAUUAAAAAGGCAGUGCAGUUAACUUGAUUUCCUGUUUUUUGUUUUAUGACAUUGAAUUAACACUUGGAAAUUGUGAAAAUGAUCAUAUUGCCCUUUUUGUGUAAGAGCUGUUUGAAAAAUAAUUCCAGGAAUUUCAGCCUGUUCAAGUGGUGUGGAGUUAUUUGGACAAGAUCAUGACAUUACAAUCUGAUCUGAUUAUACUGACCAAUGACCAGUCAUCUUUUAUUUGCGUGCCUAUCCUACUUUGAAGGGAUUAGCGGGGUAGGCUCUGGCCAAGACGAUCCUAUCCGCCAAUCAGGGCUGUUGGGCGAUCAGACUGAGCAUUUCAAUGGCAAAAGGAGGCAUACUUAUUUUGCAUUAAAUAAAUACACAGUGUUUUAUUAGACAUACAGUAAUCAUUUAAACGUAACAUUAAAAAGACUGCAUGGGGGGCUUUAAAAAGAAGCCAAACAAAAUUCUGUUUCCCAAUCAUGCUGUACUUGCUAUGUAUGUGUAGCAACCAUCUCAUGUCAAUGUCUCUACAAUAACAAUUCCCAGAGUGUACAGUAGACCGUAACAUGUUUUAUAAAGUGAAAAAAUGAUAUUGGUUACACUUUACAGUCUUCUAUUUACCUGGUAAAUAACAACUGAAAUAGGUUUGUUAAAAAAAAGUGUUACCAUUGCCAAUGUAAUGUUCAUUAAACUUGAGGGCCUGAGUGAAACAAU
This is a long non-coding RNA of Oncorhynchus keta (chum salmon), 3161 nucleotides long. RefSeq lists it as uncharacterized. Lineage: Eukaryota; Metazoa; Chordata; Actinopteri; Salmoniformes; Salmonidae. The transcript has 2 exons. The record is from RefSeq and is a predicted model, not a curated record.